This 32-nucleotide small RNA is filed under the name Arabidopsis thaliana (thale cress). RNAcentral describes it as "ATSL054480". The record is from RNAcentral. Lineage: Eukaryota; Viridiplantae; Streptophyta; Magnoliopsida; Brassicales; Brassicaceae.
CGGAAGUUUUGGUUCCUCUGCGUCCUAGUAAG